This 420-nucleotide long non-coding RNA is filed under the name Medicago truncatula (barrel medic). RNAcentral's name for it is "long non-coding RNA (MTRU_LNC003278)". The record is from RNAcentral. Lineage: Eukaryota; Viridiplantae; Streptophyta; Magnoliopsida; Fabales; Fabaceae.
UGUGUUGUAUACCUUAUGAUAAAAUAGUCAAUGAAAUUUGAUUUAGGUUUUGUGUUGGUACCCAAUAAAUAUACAUUGAUAACGAUGUCAAUUAAUCGUAUAUUUUGUUGUGUCAUUACAAUUAAUCACAUUGGUGUAAGACUAUACUCCCUCCGGUCAUAUUUAUAAGAUACAAAUUACUUUUUAGAUACAUUAAAUAAUUUAUGUAUUUGGUUUAGGUUCUUGACUAGAUACAUAUAUUAUUCAAUGUAUCUAAAAAAUCAAUUUUCUCUUGUAAAUAAGACCGGAGGGAGUAUUACUAAGCUUAGUAUUACUAGUCCUAUAUUCUAUUGUGUGUUUAAUAUAUCUAUACAUAAUAAAGACAUGUGAUUUAAACGAAACAUAUAUUUGUAUGUGGUGAAUAAUCAUUUAUAAAGUCUC